RNAcentral lists this ribosomal RNA (1128 nucleotides) under Fusarium solani. Its description in RNAcentral is "eukaryotic LSU rRNA". The stretch from base 511 to 1128 matches the Rfam family "Eukaryotic large subunit ribosomal RNA", at positions 1 to 640 of the family's 3401-position model. The record is from RNAcentral. Lineage: Eukaryota; Fungi; Ascomycota; Sordariomycetes; Hypocreales; Nectriaceae.
ACGUAUGGGUGACAGCGGAGGGAUCAUUACCGAGUUAUUCAACUCAUCAACCCUGUGAACUUACCUAUACGUUGCUUCGGCGGGAAUAGACGGCCCCGUAAAACGGGCCGCCCCCCGCCAGAGAACCCUUAACUCUGUUUCUUUUAGUGUAUCUUCUGAGUAAAACAAGCAAAUAAAUUAAAACUUUCAACAACGGAUCUCUUGGCUCUGGCAUCGAUGAAGAACGCAGCGAAAUGCGAUAAGUAAUGUGAAUUGCAGAAUUCAGUGAAUCAUCGAAUCUUUGAACGCACAUUGCGCCCGCCAGUAUUCUGGCGGGCAUGCCUGUUCGAGCGUCAUUACAACCCUCAGGCCCCCGGGCCUGGCGUUGGGGAUCGGCGGAGCCCCCCGUGGGCACACGCCGUCCCCCAAAUACAGUGGCGGUCCCGCCGCAGCUUCCAUCGCGUAGUAGCUAACACCUCGCGACUGGAGAGCGGCGCGGCCACGCCGUAAAACACCCAACUCUUCUGAAGUUGACCUCGAAUCAGGUAGGAAUACCCGCUGAACUUAAGCAUAUCAAUAAGCGGAGGAAAAGAAACCAACAGGGAUUGCCCCAGUAACGGCGAGUGAAGCGGCAACAGCUCAAAUUUGAAAUCUGGCUCUCGGGCCCGAGUUGUAAUUUGUAGAGGAUGCUUUUGGUGAGGUGCCUUCCGAGUUCCCUGGAACGGGACGCCAUAGAGGGUGAGAGCCCCGUCUGGUUGGACGCCGAACCUCUGUAAAGCUCCUUCGACGAGUCGAGUAGUUUGGGAAUGCUGCUCUAAAUGGGAGGUAUAUGUCUUCUAAAGCUAAAUACCGGCCAGAGACCGAUAGCGCACAAGUAGAGUGAUCGAAAGAUGAAAAGAACUUUGAAAAGAGAGUUAAACAGUACGUGAAAUUGUUGAAAGGGAAGCGCUUGUGACCAGACUUGGGCUUGGUUGAUCAUCCGGGGUUCUCCCCGGUGCACUCUUCCGGCUCAGGCCAGCAUCAGUUCGCCCUGGGGGAUAAAGGCAUCGGGAACGUGGCUCUCUCCGGGGAGUGUUAUAGCCCGUUGCGUAAUACCCUGUGGCGGACUGAGGUUCGCGCAUCGCAAGGAUGCUGCGUAGCCCCGGGCUA